RNAcentral lists this long non-coding RNA (843 nucleotides) under Homo sapiens (human). RNAcentral describes it as "long non-coding RNA NONHSAT190847.1". Lineage: Eukaryota; Metazoa; Chordata; Mammalia; Primates; Hominidae. The record is from RNAcentral.
GGAGCGGGGCGUUCGGAGUUGGGCUGUAGAGCGACUAUGGGCGCACGCCGGGUAUCCGCGCCGCAGCCAGGCUCGGAGCGCGCGGCUGGAGGGGCGCGGGCGGCGCGCGCUCCAGAGAUGCCUUCCUGCGAGGCUCCGUCAGCGCGGCCCGGGGAGAUCGCCCGCAGGCAGCGGAGGCGCGGCGGGCCGGGGGACGACCAGGGAGCCCCUAACAAAGCAGCUUUGGGAGGGCCGGAGGCCUCUGCCUCCCUCGGCGAUAGGUCCGCGAAGCUGCCUGUCAUCUCGCAUAGGUGGAGGUGGCCAAUGGCGUGCACAGACGGAGCUCUAGUUGGCGCGCGCGCGCGGCUCGGCAUCGGUGGGAUUGGUCGGAGGUUGUGGAGAACGCGGAAACGGAGACGCUGGCGGUACAGCCUCGAGCGAAACCUUUCCCUACACGAGGCCGGAGCUUCCUCCUCUCCUGAAGAGCUCUAGACUUCCCCAUUUACAACAAAGGCUGGGAUGUAUGUUCCUUACACCUUGAUUCCAUACACACGUGUUCGCCCCGGGAGCUGGGAAGGUCUGCGCUCCCGGGGUGAUCUUGUUGAAAACAAAAAGAAUUGCCCACGCUGUGGAAGAUAAACCUAAACCGGAAAAUUGAAAGUCAUCCCUGAUUCCUCCUUCUUCUUAACCCUCUCCCAUCCAUUUUUGUUAACCUCCCAAACCCAUUCCUCCCAUCCUGUCUCACCUGGACCUCAGUAAAGGGCUCCCAUCGUCCUUCUGUCCCAGGCCUUGCCCCCUGAAAUCUGUUCUCCACUUUGCAGAAUGAUCCUUCUAAGCAGAAAAAUCUCAUUUUGCGCUCCCAAC